This 120-nucleotide ribosomal RNA is filed under the name Salmo trutta (river trout). Lineage: Eukaryota; Metazoa; Chordata; Actinopteri; Salmoniformes; Salmonidae. The record is from RNAcentral.
GUUUACGGCCAUACCAGCGCUGGGUACGCCCGAUCUCGUCUGAUCUCGGAAGCUAAGCAGGGUCGGGCCUGGUUAGUACUUGGAUGGGAGACCGCCUGGGAAUACCAGUGCUGGUAAGCU